CGCGUAGGCGGACAUUUAAGUCAGGGGUGAAAUCCCGGGGCUCAACCCCGGAACUGCCCUUGAUACUGGGUGUCUUGAGUUCGAGAGAGGUGAGUGGAAUUCCGAGUGUAGAGGUGAAAUUCGUAGAUAUUCGGAGGAACACCAGUGGCGAAGGCGGCUCACUGGCUCGAUACUGACGCUGAGGUGCGAAAGUGUGGGGAGCAAACA
This 207-nucleotide ribosomal RNA is filed under the name uncultured bacterium. Its description in RNAcentral is "partial 16S ribosomal RNA". It matches the Rfam family "Bacterial small subunit ribosomal RNA", at positions 568 to 774 of the family's 1533-position model. The record is from RNAcentral.